UAUUCCUACGGGAGGCAGCAGUGAGGAAUAUUGGUCAAUGGGCGGUAGCCUGAACCAGCCAAGUAGCGUGAAGGAUGAAGGUUCUAUGGAUUGUAAACUUCUUUUAUAAAGGAAUAAAGUGAGGCACGUGUGCCUUUUUGUAUGUACUUUAUGAAUAAGGAUCGGCUAACUCCGUGCCAGCAGCCGCGGUAAUACGUAGGAUCCGAGCGUUAUCCGGAUUUAUUGGGCUUAAAGGGAGCGUAGAUGGGUUGUUACGUCAGUUGUGAAAGUUUGCGGCUCAACCGUAAAAUUGCAAAUGAUCCUGG
This 305-nucleotide ribosomal RNA is filed under the name uncultured bacterium. RNAcentral describes it as "bacterial SSU rRNA". It matches the Rfam family "Bacterial small subunit ribosomal RNA", at positions 334 to 636 of the family's 1533-position model. The record is from RNAcentral.